AAAGUAAAAAGAGAGUAUUAAAAUUUCUCAAUGUAAAAUCUGUAUUUUAGAACCACUCUACAAUAUAAGCAAAUAAUGUCUUUUUUACUGAUUACAUGCCUUUUUUGGGGGCCGGGGGGUUCUUUUUUGUUGAGACAAAGUCUUGCUCUGUUGCCCAGGCUGGAGUGCAGUGGCGUGAUGAGACUUCAAUGCAGCCUUGGUCUCCCAGGCUCAAGUGAUUCCCCCACCUCAGCCUCCCAAGUAACUGGCACCAUAAGAUAUGUGCCAUCGUGCCUGGGUAAGUUUUUUUUUUUUUUUUGUAGAGAUGCGGGUCUCACUGUUUUCCAGGCUGGUCUCAAACUCCUGGGCUCAAGUGAUCCUCCCACUUCAGCCUCACAAAGUGUUGGGAUUAUAGCCGUGAGCCACUGCAUCCAUCCAUAUGUCAUCCUUUAGACAUAUUACUUACUAAAUUUCUCUUUUUAAAGGAUAUACUGAAUUUCUGGUUGAGCCAACCUAACAGCUACUUUUAUUUUAGCUUUAAAACAUUGAUAAGCAACAUGAAGCAAUCUAGAACUUAACCUCUGAAUGGCUUUAUUAAAGAAAUCCAGCUAUGAAAAUUAUGCAGAAAUGAUUCUCUACAAACAAUCCUACCAGCACGUAAGAAAUUCUUCCUCCAUUCUGAAAUACCAUCUUCUCAUAACAUACUUUGAUGUUAUGAAUCAAUGUCUGUUCUUGAACAUUAUUUAUUGUCUUUCUCUAUUAAACAAUUCCAAAAUAAGAUUUCUAGCACAACUAAACAUUGUUGACAAUAAAAGAAUGAAAAAUAAAAUUCUUUUAAAACAGAAGCUUAUAUGCAACUUGGAAUCUAAAAUCAAUAGAUUUAUGGUAAACCUUAAAACUUAACCAAAACAAACAAAAACUAAAGUUUUAAUCAUUUAAAAAUCAUGUUUAUUGAGGUACAACUUACUUAUAGUAAAACCUGCCCUUUUCAGCAUAUAGCACUGAGUCUUGACAAAUGCACAGUUACGUACCAUCACUGACCAAGGCCUGGCACAUUUUCACCUCCUCAAAGUUCCCCCUGGCUGCUUCUCCCACUCUUUGGCAACCACUAAUCUGUUUUCUGUCCUUACAGUUCUGCUUUUUUCAGAAUGUCAUAUAAGUAGAAUCACACUGUACGUAAUCUUUUGAGUCUGACCUCUGUCAACUGGCAUAAUGCAUUUGAGAAUUAUCCAUGUACUGGCAGUGCAUUCUAUUUUUAUUGCUGAGCAGUAUUAAACUGCAUGGCUGUACCAGUUUGUUUAUUCAUUUGCUAGUUGAAGGAUAACUGAGACUUCCUAGUUUUUAGCAAUUUUAAAGAAAGUUUCUAUGAAUAAUUGUGUACAGGUUUUUCAUGAAAUGUUUUGGAGAUAUAAUUCAUAUAGCACAUAAUUCACCUUUUCAAAGUGCACAGUUCACUGGUUUUUAAUGUAUUCACAAGGUUUGUGCAUACGUUUCUGUGUGAAUACUGGUUUUCAUUCCUCUUGGAUAAAGAUAUUUAAUUUGGUAUUACCCUUCCAGACACCUGUGUUUUCAUACAUAUACAUGUACCACAGUUUGAUCUCAGGCAGAGAAGCAUUUUCAAAAUUUUACAUGGGGAAACUCUUUCUAGAGUUAAAGCCAUUUUCAUUUAUUUUUCUGUUCUGUCUGAUUUUAUCUGCAUAUUAUUUACAAUCGGCUGCAUAACAAAUUACUACAAACUUAGUACCUUAACACAUUUCACAGUUUCUGUGGGUCAGGAGAUCAGAAAUGGUUCUGUUUUCAAGGUCUCUCACAAGGGUGCAAUCAAGAUGUUGGCAUGGCUGGGGUCUCAUCUGAAGGCUGGACUGGAGAAGAAUCUACUUCCAAACUUAUGUGCUAGUUGGAAGAAUUUAGUUCCUCAAGGCUGCUAAGCUGAUGGCCUGUUCCUUGCCUAUGGGCCUGUCUGGGAUGGUAGCUUGUUUCAUCAAAGUGUUCAAGCAAUGAAGGCAGAGAGAGUCUGCUAGCAAGAUAGAAGCCACAAUCUCUUGUAAUUUAUCACUUUUGCUGUAUUCUACUGGUUAAAAAUAACUCAUUAGGUUAACCUACUGGCUCUCAAGGGGAAGAGAUUAUACAAAGGCAUGAAUUUCUGGAGGAGUGAAUGAGGGCAAAGAAUUCUGAGAAGUCUGGCUUCCACAAUCUUUAGAACUUCUAGAAAGUAAGAGGAAGAAAUAAUGCUUAGGGAUGGACAACUUGGCACUGGUUAUGUGUUCCAAGUGAGGUAACCUUGUUUCCAAGAAUAAAGAGAACCAGAUGACUGUGAACAUUUCCCUAAACUGAAAUGCAGACUGCUGUAUGUUCACCUGAAAUGAAUGGUAUAAGCCGAGUAUAAGAUUUUUGACAAAAUAAAAAUUUUGCUGUGUUCUCAGAUCUGGCAGGCCCCUGCCCUUGUGCAGACAAUGUUCCUGGCAGCUAUUCAUCUCCUUAGGUAAAUAAGAACUGGAGAAAAGCUGUGCCGAGAUAGGGUGCAUUUGCUUUUGCCUUGGAAGGUCAUUUUCUGAUAAGGUUCUAUAUCCUCUGCAAAUCAAGUCAGGUACUUAUAGCGAGUAUGCAUUCUCCUCCUGCCAGUCUGGAGAUGAUCAAAAAGCAUAUAACAGGCUUGGUCUAUUUUCCUAUUGGGUUGUUGGGCUUUUUUUCCUCUUUAUUUACUUGUAUAGAGUUUUAGACCUCUGUGUAUGUAUGGUGUACAAGUGACAAUAUUCAGAUCCGUAAAUUGUAACCCAGUCUGGGAGCAAAGAAGAUACAGAAAAAUGACUUACUUUCUGCUUGAGUAGUAAAAUUGAGAUUCAAAUUUUG
Mandrillus leucophaeus (drill) is the source of this 2829-nucleotide long non-coding RNA. RefSeq lists it as uncharacterized. The record is from RefSeq and is a predicted model, not a curated record. Lineage: Eukaryota; Metazoa; Chordata; Mammalia; Primates; Cercopithecidae. The transcript is spliced from 2 exons.